UACGUAGGGUGCGAGCGUUGUCCGGAAUUAUUGGGCGUAAAGAGCUCGUAGGCGGUCUGUCGCGUCGGUCGUGAAAACCUGCAGCUUAACUGUGGGCGUGCGGUCGAUACGGGCAUGACUGGAGUUCGGCAGGGGAGACUGGAAUUCCUGGUGUAGCGGUGAAAUGCGCAGAUAUCAGGAGGAACACCGGUGGCGAAGGCGGGACUCUGGGCCGAUACUGACGCUGAGGAGAGAAAGCGUGGGGAGCGAACAGG
This 254-nucleotide ribosomal RNA is filed under the name uncultured bacterium. RNAcentral's name for it is "partial 16S ribosomal RNA". It matches the Rfam family "Bacterial small subunit ribosomal RNA", at positions 524 to 776 of the family's 1533-position model. The record is from RNAcentral.